RNAcentral lists this ribosomal RNA (465 nucleotides) under uncultured bacterium. RNAcentral describes it as "partial 16S ribosomal RNA". It matches the Rfam family "Bacterial small subunit ribosomal RNA", at positions 28 to 507 of the family's 1533-position model. The record is from RNAcentral.
GACGAACGCUGGCGGCGUGCUUAACACAUGCAAGUCGAACGGAAAGGCCCUGCUUGCAGGGUACUCGAGUGGCGAACGGGUGAGUAACACGUGGGUGAUCUGCCCUUCACUUCGGGAUAAGCCUGGGAAACUGGGUCUAAUACCGGAUAGGAGCCAUUUUUAGUGUGAUGGUUGGAAAGUUUUUUCGGUGUAGGAUGAGCUCGCGGCCUAUCAGCUUGUUGGUGGGGUAAUGGCCUACCAAGGCGGCGACGGGUAGCCGGCCUGAGAGGGUGGACGGCCACAAUGGGGCCGAGGUAAGGCCCAGGAGCCUAAGGGAGGCAGCAGUGGGGAAUAUUGCACAAUGGGCGCAAGGCUGAUGCAGCGACGCCGCGUGGGGGAAGACGGCCUUCGGGUUGUAAACUCCUUUCGGUAGGGACGAAGCUUUUUGUGACGGUACCUAGAGAAGAAGCACCGGCUAACUACGUG